ACGAGGACAGAGAAAUAGGCCUUAGGUGGCUGACCUUGGCGUGACGAGGACAUGGCGGAGAGACAGAAGCAGUUAGACAGACAAAGAAUAGGAACAAAGGGGGUGGUAGAUAUUUUCCUGAGAGAGGUGAAAUUCAAUGACCAGGAAAAGAUAGACGAGAGCGAAAGCAUUCCACAAAGAUGUUUUCAUAGAUCAAGAACGAAAGUUGGGGGAUCGAAGACGAUCAGAUACCGUCGUAGUCUCAACCAUAAACGAUGCCGACUAGGGAUUGGAUGGUGGUGUGUGAGUGGUUGUGGUGGUGAUGCAUGCCUUUGUGGUGUGUGUUGUUGGCAUGACUGCUGACCAAUCGAAAAGAAGCACAUGCCAGUUAACGCUGGUGUGAAUGGACAGAAUAGACUCUUCCAGGACUUUAGCGAGAAAUCAAGAAGUUGAUGGGCUUCGGGGGGAGUAUGGUCGCAAGGCAGAAACUUAAAGGAAUUGACGGGAGGGCACACCAGGAGUGGAGCGUGCGGGUUAAUUUGACUCAACACGGGGAAACUUACCAGGGCCAGAUAGCAAGGGGAUUGACAGAUUGAGAGCUCUUUCAUGAUAUGGUAGGUGGUGGUGCAUGGUCGUUCUUAGUUGGUGGUGUGAAUUGUCUGGUUAAUUCCGAUAACGAACGAGACCUUGGCU
This 672-nucleotide ribosomal RNA is filed under the name Endolimax nana. RNAcentral describes it as "partial small subunit ribosomal RNA". It matches the Rfam family "Eukaryotic small subunit ribosomal RNA", at positions 808 to 1348 of the family's 1831-position model. The record is from RNAcentral. Lineage: Eukaryota; Evosea; Mastigamoebida; Endamoebidae.